This 653-nucleotide ribosomal RNA is filed under the name uncultured Calcarisporiella. RNAcentral describes it as "eukaryotic LSU rRNA". It matches the Rfam family "Eukaryotic large subunit ribosomal RNA", at positions 87 to 621 of the family's 3401-position model. The record is from RNAcentral. Lineage: Eukaryota; Fungi; Ascomycota.
CGGCGAGUGAAGCGGGAAAAGCUCAAUUUUAAAAUCUAGGCGCUUUGCGUCUCGAAUUGUAAAUUAAAGAAACGUUAUCUGCUACCGUACGGGUAUAAAUCCUUUGGAAAAGGGUAUCAUAGAGGGUGAGAAUCCCGUCUUUGACUUGUAACGGAUGGCUAUAUGAUGCGUUUUCUAAGAGUCGGGUUGUUUGAGAAUGCAGCCCUAAAUUGGUGGUAAAUUUCAUCUAAAGCUAAAUAUAUGCAAGAGACCGAUAGCAAACAAGUACCGUGAGGGAAAGAUGAAAAGAACUUUGAAAAGAGAGUUAAAAGUACGUGAAAUUGUUAAAAGGGAAACGAUUGAAGCCAGUCAUUCCUUGCUAUAUUCAGCCUCAACUUUGUAUGAUUAAGCGUUUAGUGCGUCUAUUGAAUAUAAAGUUUUGGUGCAUUUAUAGUUGGAGAGUCAACAUCAGUUGUGUUUGGUGAAUAAAACUUAAGGAAUGUAGGUUCACCUCGGUGGACUGUUAUAGACUUAUUUAUUCUCACUGGACGCGACUGAGGACCGUAGUGCGAGCCUUCGGGCCUUUAUCUUUGUGCCUGUCUAGUCAUCUAGUGUAAACAGCUUGCUGCUUGCCCUGGAAGCGGCUGGACAGCCGUGCAAACGAUAUAUGUCGU